Molecule: long non-coding RNA, 2266 nt
Organism: Formica exsecta
Lineage: Eukaryota; Metazoa; Arthropoda; Insecta; Hymenoptera; Formicidae
Exons: 2
Source: RefSeq, a predicted model, not a curated record
AUUCUCCAACAAGAACACGAGCUUGGAGAAUUGAUAUUGGAGAUCUCGCGCGCGCGUGAUGAUAAUACAAAACUCUGAUUUCAGAAUUACCAAUGCUGAAAAAUAAAUUCUCGGUCGUCUCUACAUAUAAAUAAAUGCCUUCACUUUAAACAAAACUGUGCAGACAACAGGACAUUUCUUUCCAAAUAAAGUAAUAUUUUUAACUAAAACAUUUUUUCUAUAAAUAUAUAUUUUACGUUUAGAGAAAUAAAUUAAUUUGAUAUAAAACACAAGAAAGAAUUUGUUUGUAUCAGAAUUACAUUUAUAUAUAAAUAGUACAAUUUUGUUUAUAUGUGCAACAUUACCUAUUUAAUCAUAGAAAAUCGACAGAUGAAAUAUUAAUAUAUCUAAAUAUAAAUACGUAACAAAAAAGAGAAAUGUGUAUUAUUAAAAUGUAAAAUAUGUACCACAUAGAAUGCCGAAUUCUUUGCUAAUAAUCUGUUAUGUGGGAUAAUGAAUCAUGCGAAUAUAAUUGUUUGUACAAACUAAACUGAUGUUUUAACUUCUAACAUUAUAUUAAUUUAUAUGUUAUUUUAAUAGCAACCUAACAAAUUUUAAACAAUAGAUAGUGCUUUUCUAAAAAAUAUUUAAAAGUUUGUAUAUGCUGUUUAAUUCAAAACGAACAUAAGAACAAGUAUAGAGAAAGUGGAAAGGAUUAUCAUUAAUGUGCUAAUUGUGCUAACAAUAAGUAAACAAAAGCCUCGAGGCUUGUCCAGGUUUGCUCGCUCGAGAAUAAAAAAUUCGACGAUACUUAAGCGUAAGAAUGAGGUACGAUAUAUAAGCAAAUUUACAAGAUAGAAGCAUUAUCGACUCUAAAGAAUAUAACUAAAUAAAUUUUGACGGGUACAAUGAUGUUUAAUCUUUCAUUAUUUACAAAAGUUGCACAAAUGUACAUAAUGGUGCAAUUACAUUGACACUGCUAAACUCUAAGUGAGCAAUACAUAAUGUUAGGCAAAACAUAUAAACUCGAAAUGUAAAAUGCAUUAGCAAUUAUAAAAUAAUAAAUUUUUUUAGCAAUAAUACAUGAUAUUUAUAUUAUGAAACAUUUUAAUUAAAAUGUCACUUAUCUCAUAUAGUUUUUUACAUUAAAGCUAUACACAAAGAUUUCAUAUAUUGCUUCUAUCUUGUUUCUUUCAGAAAAUAAUGUACAUUAUGUGUGUAGAGUUUGAAAUUUUUAUUAUAUGCAUCCCCCUUUUAUCUCUUGAUAAGUAUACAUAUGUUUAUGCUAAUGCAUGUUUCAUUAUUCAUAUACAUGUAAAUAGUUCUACCUAUUUCUAAUUAACAGCAGAAAUUUAUUAUAUAUCUUUGAAAUAUGUAUGUAUAUUGUAUCAAUAUAUGAUGCGUCUAUAUAAAAUGCAAGAUUUUCAAUUUAACAAUUAUUAAAUAAUUUUUAGAUGUUGUGUUUUCGAGCGUUCCACUAAAUAAUAAAUAUAUGCUUGUGUGUACUUUGAAACUACUUUGACAAUAUAUUCGAAGGUUUUAUAACAUUAUACAUCAAUAUUCUAUUUUUUGUAAAUAUUAUAAUAAAAUUAGAUGAAUUUUACCAUAGCUUUUUGUAUAAUUAUGAUUAUAAUUAAUAUAUUAUAAAAAUGAAUUACAAAAAUAUUAAAUAAUGUAAAAAGAAUGUACAGAAAAAUCUAUAUAUAAUCAAAUCUAUGUCAAAUUGUUGCAGUAUUCCAACUAUAAAUAUAUCUCUCGUAUUUUCUAUCCACUUCCGUUUUUUCCUGUUGGAUAUUUAUUUCCAUAAGCGAAAAAUAUCAAUUAGAUUAGAUUAAACAACACUACAUUAUUGCGGAAAUCAUAUACAUUUUUAGAGAGUUUCAUAUUGGGAAAGAAUAUACAUAUAUCACAUGUCUGUUAAUAAUAUCCCUAAUUCAAACUAUGUACAAGGUGUGAAUUUAGAUAACAGCAACCAUAUUUCAAAGUAAAAAUAAAUACGAGAUAGAAAAAAUCAGAGAAAAAGAAAUGAAUAAGUAUAAAAAAAAGGAGAAAAUCGUAAGUAAUGUAUAUAAAUUAGAUGUAUAUUGAAUUUGUUACUUUGAUACUUUGGCAGUGCAAGAGUAACAAAUGAUAUCAUAUUUUAUCGUAAUUCCUUUACUAUAAAAUGUACGGAAAAAGCAAAACAGUUUUUAUAAAGAAACAUGAAAAAAUUAUUUCAAUAAAUAUAAUUAUAUACAUUCAAAAUAUCAUAUACAAUACUUGCUCUUUGCUAUAAAAAAAAAAAAAA